RNAcentral lists this ribosomal RNA (495 nucleotides) under uncultured bacterium. RNAcentral's name for it is "partial 16S ribosomal RNA". It matches the Rfam family "Bacterial small subunit ribosomal RNA", at positions 28 to 507 of the family's 1533-position model. The record is from RNAcentral.
GACGAACGCUGGCGGCGUGCCUAAUACAUGCAAGUAGAACGCUGAAGGAGGAGCUUGCUUCUCUGGAUGAGUUGCGAACGGGUGAGUAACGCGUAGGUAACCUGCCUGGUAGCGGGGGAUAACUAUUGGAAACGAUAGCUAAUACCGCAUAAUAGUAGAUGUUGCAUGACAUUUGCUUAAAAGGUGCAAUUGCAUCACUACCAGAUGGACCUGCGUUGUAUUAGCUAGUUGGUGGGGUAACGGCUCACCAAGGCGACGAUACAUAGCCGACCUGAGAGGGUGAUCGGCCACACUGGGACUGAGACACGGCCCAGACUCCUACGGGAGGCAGCAGUAGGGAAUCUUCGGCAAUGGACGGAAGUCUGACUGAGCAACGCCGCGUGAGUGAAGAAGGUUGUCGGAUCGUAAAGCUCUGUUGUAAGAGAAGAACGAGUGUGAGAGUGGAAAGUUCACACUGUGACGGUAUCUUACCAGAAAGGGACGGCUAACUACGUG